Molecule: ribosomal RNA, 253 nt
Filed under: uncultured bacterium
Lineage: Bacteria
Description: partial 16S ribosomal RNA
Rfam family: Bacterial small subunit ribosomal RNA
Source: RNAcentral
GACAGAGGGGGCAAGCGUUGCUCGGAAUCACUGGGCGUAAAGGGCGCGUAGGCGGGAUGGCAAGUCGGUCGUGAAAUCCUUCGGCUCAACCGAAGAACGUCGGCCGAUACUGCCGUUCUUGAGGGAUGCAGAGGAGAUUGGAAUUCCUGGUGUAGCAGUGAAAUGCGUAGAUAUCAGGAGGAAUACCGAUGGCGAAGGCAGGUCUCUGGGCUGACACUGACGCUCAUGCACGAAAGCGUGGGGAGCAAACAGG